GAAAAGGAAGUUAAAGAAUCUAAGUAGUCAAAUCAUCCCUGUUUGCAGAUGAGAGCGUGUUACACAGAAGAGAUUCAAAAAUUCCAAAGAAAACCCUCUGGAGGCAUUCAACAUUUUUGGCAAAGUAACAGGAUACAAUAACCUUUUUGUACACCACCAACAAUCAUGCUGAGUAAAACAAGUAGCCGUAAAGUAAAUAAAAUGUCUAGGAGUAAACUUAGCCAAGGAUGUGAUGGACUUAUACAGUGAAAACUUGAAAUACCCAAAGUGGGAAAUUUAGGAAGACUCUAAAAUAUGGAACAACUUCAAGUGCUCAUGGAUUGGCAAAAUUAACUUGUCAAAAUGAUUAUUCUAACAAAAGCAUUUUAUAGAUUAAAUGAAAUAUUGAACAGAAUCUCUCAGAAUAUUCAUUUCAGAAAUAGAAAAUAAAAUUUUAAAAUUAAUAUGGUAACAAAAAAGACCCAGGCAGCAACAGCAAUCUGAGCAAUAAAGAACAGUGCUUGAAGGAUCACCAUUGCAGAUUCACAGAGCUAGUAAUGCUGCAGUAAUGCAAACAGUGUGGUUCUCACCCAGACAGAUGUGCACAGAGCCAACAUGAGUAUAUAUUACAGCAAAGAGGAAGGCAGCGUCUUCAACAACUGCUGCUACCAAGACUGGUUGCAUGUGUGUAGGAUGAAAUUAGACCCAUCUCUAUCACCAUGCAAAAAAUUAACCCCAAAUGGAUCAGUGUGCUCAAUAUGAUACAUUGAAAUUGCUUGAAUAAAACAUAGAUAAUAUCCUAUAAGAAACAGUUGUGGGAAAGGACUUUCUAAAUAGGACUCUGUUAUCCAAGAAUUUGUGUCAUAAAACUAAAAAUCUGCUGAACAGCUAAGGAAGAGUAAGCUCACCAAGUGAGAAAGUUAUAACACUUGACAGAAAAUUAACAUCCAGAAUAUGUAAAAACUCAAAACAACAGAGUCAAGAAGCCAAGUGACCCAAUUCAGAGGUAGGCUAUGGGUUUAGUGGAGCGUUUUC
RNAcentral lists this long non-coding RNA (1014 nucleotides) under Mus musculus (house mouse). RNAcentral describes it as "long non-coding RNA chr1:159333214-159334228". Lineage: Eukaryota; Metazoa; Chordata; Mammalia; Rodentia; Muridae. The record is from RNAcentral.